This 492-nucleotide ribosomal RNA is filed under the name uncultured bacterium. RNAcentral describes it as "partial 16S ribosomal RNA". It matches the Rfam family "Bacterial small subunit ribosomal RNA", at positions 29 to 507 of the family's 1533-position model. The record is from RNAcentral.
AGUGAACGCUGGCGGUAGGCCUAACACAUGCAAGUCGAACGGCAGCACAGUAAGAGCUUGCUCUUACGGGUGGCGAGUGGCGGACGGGUGAGGAAUACAUCGGAAUCUACUUUUUCGUGGGGGAUAACGUAGGGAAACUUACGCUAAUACCGCAUACGACCUACGGGUGAAAGCAGGGGAUCUUCGGACCUUGCGCGAUUGAAUGAGCCGAUGUCGGAUUAGCUAGUUGGCGGGGUAAAGGCCCACCAAGGCGACGAUCCGUAGCUGGUCUGAGAGGAUGAUCAGCCACACUGGAGCUGAGACACGGUCCAGACUCCUACGGGAGGCAGCAGUGGGGAAUAUUGGACAAUGGGCGCAAGCCUGAUCCAGCCAUACCGCGUGGGUGAAGAAGGCCUUCGGGUUGUAAAGCCCUUUUGUUGGGAAAGAAAAGCAGCAGGUUAAUACCCCGCUGUUCUUACGGUACCCAAAGAAUAAGCACCGGCUAACUUCGUG